GGGGUUGUACUCAAUGGUAGAGCACUUGCCUCGAAUGCAAGAGGCACUGGGUUCAAUCCUCAGCUACCACA
Molecule: transfer RNA, 71 nt
Filed under: Ictidomys tridecemlineatus (thirteen-lined ground squirrel)
Lineage: Eukaryota; Metazoa; Chordata; Mammalia; Rodentia; Sciuridae
Description: Spermophilus tridecemlineatus (thirteen-lined ground squirrel) tRNA
Rfam family: tRNA
About the family: Transfer RNA (tRNA) molecules are approximately 80 nucleotides in length. Their secondary structure includes four short double-helical elements and three loops (D, anti-codon, and T loops).
Source: Rfam by way of RNAcentral